Molecule: long non-coding RNA, 983 nt
Organism: Harpia harpyja (harpy eagle)
Lineage: Eukaryota; Metazoa; Chordata; Aves; Accipitriformes; Accipitridae
Exons: 4
Source: RefSeq, a predicted model, not a curated record
GGGAAAAGAAAAGUUGUUAAGGGCAGUGUGGAUAUGACUUGAAUUUUUCAUCAGUAUCUUCCAGAUUUCACCUAUGCAAUACUUUGGAACUUAAUAAACAGACGAUGUUGGCAACCAAAACAUUUACUGGUCACUUUGGAGGGAUGGGACUAUGCAUCUUUAACCUAGGCUCUCAACACUAUGGUAUUUAUUACUAGGGGUGAAGAAUUACCUCCUUCCAGCUAGUUUUCCAAUAGUUCCUACUUCAAAAAGGAAUUAAGGUUGGAAACAACCUCUUUGUGGCCAGAAAGUUGGUGAGCCUUUGAUUUAAGAUUAACUUUUUAACUUGGUGAUAAAUUCAAACCCAUCAAGAUCUUCUGCUGAACCUAAUUCUUCCCAUUAGUAUUAGUUUUAUAACAGAAUUGUACUAAUAUCAGAUUUUUGCUUGACACCAGUUUAAGUUAGAACUGAAAGAACAAUCAACUCCAUGUCUCUUGAGUACGUGUUGCACUUAACCACAGAAAAUUUGGGGGGUGUCAUUUGUCAAACUUGUACAACAGUGAAUGGUGUGUAGGGAAAUGAGACAACCUUUGGCAACUACUGAUAUGGAAAUAAUUGUGUGUAUCGCUACAAUGUGAUCUUUGGUUUACAUUUUUCUCAGAUUAGAUUGAGGAAAAAGGACAUGCCAUCCUAAAUAUAUAAGCAGAACAGGAAACUCCCUUAAAGAUGUCAUUCAUAGAGGUGUUGAAUAUCACUUAAGCUCAAGCACACAUAAUUUUGCUUAAGCCAGAAGAAUUUGGUGUAUGAGCUCACAUUGCUUUGUAGUUCUAGAGAAAAUCUAAGUGCAAUGUCUAAGCUAGCAAUGUGAUGGCAGGACCCUAUUCUUCUUUUUUGAUAAUAAAAAAGCAACAGAUUAUCCUCAUUGGAAUUCCUUAAACCUUGCUAAAUCUUUGGCUGAGACAGAUCUUAAAAUAUUUUAUUUUGAAAAGCAAAGUUUAUCCACA